This 429-nucleotide ribosomal RNA is filed under the name Chloroflexota bacterium. RNAcentral describes it as "Chloroflexi bacterium partial 16S ribosomal RNA". It matches the Rfam family "Bacterial small subunit ribosomal RNA", at positions 355 to 776 of the family's 1533-position model. The record is from RNAcentral. Lineage: Bacteria; Bacillati; Chloroflexota.
UGGGGAAUAUUGCACAAUGGGCGCAAGCCUGAUGCAGCCAUGCCGCGUGUGUGAAGAAGGCCUUCGGGUUGUAAAGUACUUUCAGUCGGGAGGAAGGUGUCAAGGUUAAUAACCUUGGCAAUUGACGUUACCGACAGAAGAAGCACCGGCUAACUCCGUGCCAGCAGCCGCGGUAAUACGGAGGGUGCAAGCGUUAAUCGGAAUUACUGGGCGUAAAGCGCACGCAGGCGGUUUGUUAAGUCAGAUGUGAAAUCCCCGGGCUCAACCUGGGAACUGCAUCUGAUACUGGGAAGCUUGAGUCUCGUAGAGGGGGGUAGAAUUCCAGGUGUAGCGGUGAAAUGCGUAGAGAUCUGGAGGAAUACCGGUGGCGAAGGCGGCCCCCUGGACGAAGACUGACGCUCAGGUGCGAAAGCGUGGGGAGCAAACAGG